UAGGGAAUAUUGCACAAUGGGCGAAAGCCUGAUGCAGCAACGCCGCGUGCGCGACGAAGGCCUUCGGGUCGUAAAGCGCUUUUCGGGGAGACGAGCAAGGACGGUAUCCCCGGAAUAAGGCUCGGCUAACUACGUGCCAGCAGCCGCGGUAAAACGUAGGAGCCUAGCGUUAUCCGAAUUUACUGGGCGUAAAGCGCGUGCAGGCGGUUCGGUAAGUUGGGUGUGAAAUCUCCUGGCUCAACUAGGAGAGGUCGCUCAAUACUGUCGAACUAGAGGAUGGUAGAGGGAGGUGGAAUUCCCGGUGUAGUGGUGAAAUGCGUAGAUAUCGGGAGGAAUACCAGUGGCGAAGGCGGCCUCCUGGGCCAUACCUGACGCUCAGACGCGAAAGCUAGGGGAGCAAACGGGAUUAGAAACCCCGGUAGUCCUAGCAGUAAACGAUGUGGACUUGGCGUUGGUGGGGUAAAAUCCAUCAGUGCCGGAGCUAACGCGGUAAGUCCACCGCCUGGGGACUACGGCCGCAAGGUUA
This 526-nucleotide ribosomal RNA is filed under the name uncultured bacterium. Its description in RNAcentral is "bacterial SSU rRNA". It matches the Rfam family "Bacterial small subunit ribosomal RNA", at positions 355 to 896 of the family's 1533-position model. The record is from RNAcentral.